RNAcentral lists this unclassified non-coding RNA (323 nucleotides) under soil metagenome. Its description in RNAcentral is "partial contains 5.8S ribosomal RNA, internal transcribed spacer 2, and large subunit ribosomal RNA". The stretch from base 1 to 120 matches the Rfam family "5.8S ribosomal RNA", at positions 35 to 154 of the family's 154-position model. The record is from RNAcentral.
GAUGAAGAACGCAGCGAAAUGCGAUAAGUAAUGCGAAUUGCAGAAUUCAGUGAAUCAUCGAAUCUUUGAACGCAACUUGCGCCUUUUGGUAUUCCGAAAGGCAUGCCUGUUUGAGUGUCAUAUAAACCUCACCUCUACUGUUUUUCAUUAGACAUGUGGACUGGUGCUUUGGGCGUCUGCCGUUUACUCUGGCUCGCCUUAAAUGUCUAAGUGGAAUGCGUAAUAAGUCUUCGCAACCCUCCACUCUAAUACAAACUUUUAUAUUCUGACCUCAAAUCAGGUAGGACUACCCGCUGAACUUAAGCAUAUCAAUAAGCGGAGGA